UCCUCCGUGGCGCAAUUGGCUAGCGCGUCUGACUGUUAAGAGCAUCCGCACGGAUCGCUUGGCUAUCAGGAGGUUGACAGUUCAAGCCUGUCCGGGGGAG
Non-coding RNA from Aplosporella prunicola CBS 121167, 100 nucleotides. The record is from the annotation of a RefSeq genome assembly. Lineage: Eukaryota; Fungi; Ascomycota; Dothideomycetes; Botryosphaeriales; Aplosporellaceae.